RNAcentral lists this transfer RNA (72 nucleotides) under Schistocephalus solidus. It matches the Rfam family "tRNA". From Rfam's summary of the family: Transfer RNA (tRNA) molecules are approximately 80 nucleotides in length. Their secondary structure includes four short double-helical elements and three loops (D, anti-codon, and T loops). The record is from Rfam by way of RNAcentral. Lineage: Eukaryota; Metazoa; Platyhelminthes; Cestoda; Diphyllobothriidea; Diphyllobothriidae.
GGGCCCUUUGCUCAAUGGUAGAGCAAUUGACUCAAAUACCAAAGGUCGUGGAUUCAAGUCCCAUUUGGUCCA